UGGGAGUGUGCGGAGUGGCCCCGUGUGUGUCUGUGUGUACACGUGUGCGGUGGGAAGGGUCCCGGCCAUUGGGGUGUGGGCUACAGUAGUGAGGCAGUGCGGGGAGCAGCCGUGAGACUGAGAGAUUGUGUGAUGUGUUGUGUUCAAGUUUGAGUUUGGGCUUUUGUAUCAGGAAACUGAGGUUGAGAGAAUUUAAGUGAUUUGCCCAAGAUUCCAUAGAUAAUCACUGACAGAAUAGGGUCUCAUGUAACUCUGAGAAACUGGAUAGAUUAUGGUAUAUGAACGAAAUCGAUUGCUGAAAGAAGUUAAUUGACUUGCCCAGAGUUAUGCAGCC
This 334-nucleotide long non-coding RNA is filed under the name Sarcophilus harrisii (Tasmanian devil). Its description in RNAcentral is "lncRNA (ENSSHAG00000029125.1)". The record is from RNAcentral. Lineage: Eukaryota; Metazoa; Chordata; Mammalia; Dasyuromorphia; Dasyuridae.